Cryptomeria japonica (Japanese cedar) is the source of this 542-nucleotide long non-coding RNA. RefSeq lists it as uncharacterized. The transcript has 4 exons. The record is from RefSeq and is a predicted model, not a curated record. Lineage: Eukaryota; Viridiplantae; Streptophyta; Pinopsida; Cupressales; Cupressaceae.
UACAAGCAGGAACUAAUAAAUGACAUGCUUUACAAUAGGUUUCUGAAUCAAAUGAAGCAGAUCAUCAGCUACUUCACUCUUUAUCAAAACCUUUAGAAAGCAAGGAUGUCAAAUGUUGUCGCUGUACAAAAUAUAGUGGCUUGUCUGAACCAUUAGUUGCUUGGAGGACACUCACAGGUGGAAGCUUAUCAAAGAACAUCUUCUUUCAUCCCGUGUCUACCCUUGUCUCCGACUAAUACAAGGACUACAAAAAGUGCACAAGUUAGGUUCGAUGAUGAUGAUGAAUGUGCAUAUGGCAACCAUAGGUGGAGAAUGUGUUUUGAUAGUUGUUGAUGCUUGCGAGAUUCCGGAAAAGGGUACAGGAGCAACAUGAAGAAUAUGAGAUGCUUCUUGUUUGGUUGAAUAUUUUCUAUCUUUCAGGCUACAUGAGAAACAUGAAGAAUAUAGGAUGCUUCUUGUUUGGUUGAAAAACAUUGUUGGGCAAUUGCAUCUACAAGUGGUCAUUCUAGAUAUGGCAUGCUGAAAAACACUACAACUCCAAC